This 1959-nucleotide ribosomal RNA is filed under the name human gut metagenome. Its description in RNAcentral is "bacterial LSU rRNA". It matches the Rfam family "Bacterial large subunit ribosomal RNA", at positions 497 to 2539 of the family's 2925-position model. The record is from RNAcentral.
AGUACUGUGAAGGAAAGGUGAAAAGCACCCCGGGAGGGGAGUGAAAGAGAACCUGAAACCCUGUGCUUACAAGCACUUAGAGCACGUCAAAGUGUGAUAAGGUACCUAUUGUAGAAUGGUCCGGCGAGUUAUUGUAUGCAGCGAGGUUAAGUAGUUCAGCUACGGAGCCGAAGUGAGAGCGAGUGUUAACAGCACGUUCAGUUGCAUGCAAUAGACCCGAAACCGGGUGACCUAUCCAUGUCCAGGAUGAAGUGAGGGUAAAACCUCAUGGAGGUCCGAACCCACUCCCGUUGAAAUGGUAGGGGAUGAGGUGUGGAUAGCGGAGAAAUUCCAAUCGAACCCGGAUAUAGCUGGUUCUCCCCGAAAUAGUUUUAGGACUAGCCUCGUGAUUAAGAUUAUCGGAGGUAAAGCACUGAAUGGCCUAGGGGUCGAGAGAUUACCGAAGCCUAUCAAACUCUGAAUGCCGAAUAAUCAUGCACGGGAGUCAGACUGUGUGAGAUAAGUUUCAUAGUCGAAAGGGAAACAGCCCAGACCUACAGCUAAGGUCCCAAAGUACGUUUAAGUGGAAAACGAUGUGAAAUUGCGUAGACAACCAGGAUGUUGGCUUAGAAGCAGCCAUACAUUAAAAGAGUGCGUAAUAGCUCACUGGUCGAGUGACUUUGCGCGGAAAAUUUAACGGGGCUAAAACGUACACCGAAGCUUAGGCUUGUCACAAUGUGACAGGGGUAGGGGAGCGUUGAAUGAGGGGUGAAGUCGUAGCGAAAGCGACGGUGGACUUCAUUCAAGUGAGAAUGCCGGAAUGAGUAGCGAGAAUUAUGUGAGAAUCAUAAUGGCCGAAAGCCUAAGGUUUUUGGAGGAAGGUUCGUCCGCUCCAAGUAAGUCGGAAGCUAAGGUGAGGCUGAAAAGCGUAGCCGAUGCACAAACGGUUGAAAUUCCGUUACCACAGAAAGAUUUAAACUAAGGGACACUUUUGAAGAGCUGGUGCCGGGUGUUGGUUACCCCGGUCGUAAGGGAACGAAAUUAAGUAGUGAAGUCAGCGUGGAUGAAGGCGAGAAAAGCUUAGUGUAUAUCUUAUGUGUCCGUACCGCAAACCGACACAGGUAGGUAGGAAGAGAAUUCUAAGGCCAACGGGAGAAGGGUAGUUAAGGAACUCGGCAAAAUGUCCCCGUAACUUCGGAAUAAGGGGAGGUUUCUACGGAAACCCGCAGAGAAUAGUCCCAGGCAACUGUUUAUCAAAAACACAGCUCUAUGCUAAAUCGAAAGAUGACGUAUAUGGGGUGACGCCUGCCCGGUGCCGGAAGGUUAAGAGGAGGAGUGAGAGCCCUGAAUCGAAGCCCCGGUAAACGGCGGCCGUAACUAUAACGGUCCUAAGGUAGCGAAAUUCCUUGUCAGGUAAGUUCUGACCCGCACGAAUGGCGUAAUGAUCUGGGCACUGUCUCAACAGCCCGCCCGGCGAAAUUGUAGUACCGGUGAAGAUGCCGGUUACCCGCGACAAGACGGAAAGACCCCAUGGAGCUUUACUGUAGCCUAAUAUUGGGUUUCGAUGUUGCAUGCACAGGAUAGAUGGGACACAGGGAAACAAGUGCUUUGGCAUUUGUGGAGUGGCCGUUGGGAUACCAUCCUUGCGAUAUUGGAAUUCUAACCUGCGCCUUUGAAUCAAGGCGGGGGACAUUGUUAGGUGGGCAGUUUGACUGGGGCGGUCGCCUCCUAAAGAGUAACGGAGGCGUUCAAAGGUUCGCUCAGCUUGAACGGAAAUCAAGCAAAAGAGUGCAAACGCAGAAGCGAGCCUAACUGCGAGACUGACGGGUCGAGCAGUAACGAAAGUUGGAGUUAGUGAUCCGGUGGUAUGUGAGUGGAAAUGCCAUCGCUCAACGGAUAAAAGCUACCCUGGGGAUAACAGGCUGAUCUCCCCCAAGAGUCCACAUCGACGGGGAGGUUUGGCACCUCGAUGUCGGCUCA